Molecule: ribosomal RNA, 438 nt
Filed under: uncultured bacterium
Lineage: Bacteria
Description: bacterial SSU rRNA
Rfam family: Bacterial small subunit ribosomal RNA
Source: RNAcentral
GCUUAACGCGAAGAACCUUACCAAGGCUUGACAUGGAUUUCUAAGCACGUGAAAGCGUGUGACCCUUCGGGGGACUUCCACAGGUGCUGCAUGGCCGUCGUCAGCUCGUGUCGUGAGAUGUUGGGUUAAGUCCUGCAACGAGCGCAACCCCUGUGAUUAGUUGCCAGCGGGUAAUGCCGGGGACUCUAGUCAGACUGCCCAGAUCAACUGGGAGGAAGGUGGGGACGACGUCAGGUCAGUAUGGCCCUUACGCCUUGGGCUGCACACGUACUACAAUGCCCAGCACAAUGAGAACCGAGACCGCGAGGUGGAGGAAAUCUGUAAAACUGGGCCCAGUUCGGAUUGGAGGCUGCAACUCGCCUCCAUGAAGCCGGAAUCGCUAGUAAUGCUGCAUCAGCUACGGCAGCGUGAAUACGUUCCCGGGUCUUGUACACACCG